AGGUGUCGUCAACGAGGUCGGCGGAUGCGGGUGGGAGGAUGGUGAUGAGAAGAAGUUGAGUGAACGAGACAAGUGUGAAGAGCAUUGGAGUCUUCAUAUUGCUGGAGUCUGUUAUUGAAGGAGACGAUUAUGCCGAUGAGGUUUUGGAAGAGGAUUGUAAGAAACGGAAUACUUUUGGCGUAGAAAUGUGUGCUAAUAGAUCCUUUAAAUCGAGGUUGAUUGC
RNAcentral lists this long non-coding RNA (223 nucleotides) under Eucalyptus grandis. RNAcentral's name for it is "long non-coding RNA (EGRA_LNC005220)". The record is from RNAcentral. Lineage: Eukaryota; Viridiplantae; Streptophyta; Magnoliopsida; Myrtales; Myrtaceae.